UGUGUAGGCGGUUGUUUAAGUUUGGUGUGAAAUCUCCCGGCUUAACUGGGAGGGUGCGCCGAAUACUGAAUGACUUCGAGUGCGGGAGAGGAAAGUGGAAUUCCUGGUGUAGCGGUGAAAUGCGUAGAUAUCAGGAGGAACACCGGUGGUGUAGACGGCUUUCUGGACCGUAACUGACGCUGAGACACGAAAGCGUGGGUAAGCAAACAG
This 210-nucleotide ribosomal RNA is filed under the name uncultured bacterium. RNAcentral describes it as "partial 16S ribosomal RNA". It matches the Rfam family "Bacterial small subunit ribosomal RNA", at positions 568 to 775 of the family's 1533-position model. The record is from RNAcentral.